RNAcentral lists this ribosomal RNA (776 nucleotides) under uncultured Neocallimastigales. RNAcentral's name for it is "partial large subunit ribosomal RNA". It matches the Rfam family "Eukaryotic large subunit ribosomal RNA", at positions 24 to 644 of the family's 3401-position model. The record is from RNAcentral. Lineage: Eukaryota; Fungi; Neocallimastigomycota; Neocallimastigomycetes; Neocallimastigales.
GUAGUCUCGCACAGAUGCAUAUCAAUAAGCGGAGGAAAAGAAACUAACAAGGAUUCCCCUAGUAACGGCGAGUGAAGCGGGAAGAGCUCAAAUUUGAAAUCUUAAAGGGUUUCCCUUUACGAAUUGUAGUUUAAAGAAGUGUUUUCUGUUGAGGUUUUGGUAAAAGUUCUUUGGAAUAGGACAUCAUAGAGGGUGAGAAUCCCGUAUUUGACCUUUACUUUCAACUUUGUGAUACACUUUCAAAGAGUCGGAUUGUUUGGGAAUGCAGUCCAAAAUGGGUGGUAAAUUUCAUCUAAAGCUAAAUAUUGGCGAGAGACCGAUAGCGAACAAGUACCGUGAGGGAAAGAUGAAAAGAACUUUGAAAAGAGAGUUAAACAGUACGUGAAAUUGUCAAAAGGGAAGCGUUUGACACCAGUGUUGUUUUUCUGAAAAUCAAUUAAAGAACUGUUUAUGCUAAGCUAGUUUAGACUUUAUCAGCUAUACUGUUUAGUUUUGAGCUUUUCUUUAAUGCACUUUUCAGUUAACAAGUCAACAUCAAUUUCUUUUGCUGUAAAAAAGCUUGAGGAAGGUGGCUUGAGAUUCGUCUUAAGUGUUUAUAGCCUCUUGCCUAUGCAGUCGGAGAGAUUGAGGUCUGCAGCGUAGAUCCUUCGGGGCUAAAUGCAUUUGUGCUAAGUUAUAGCAUUUUAUAGACAACUUGUUGACUAUGAUUUGUCUUGUAGCUUACUCGCUUAUGUUAUUUUACCUACGCUUAGGAUGUUGAACUACUGAGACAUAGA